UGGAGAUGGCUCAGAGAAAGUCAGUUGUGCAUGAAGGCUUCAUGGUAGCUGAAGAACCAGGUGGAGGAACCAAACGACAGACGCCCAGGCAGUAAGUGUGGCUACCACCUUGCAUCUCUUUACAGCAAAUGGAACAUCACAGAAAACCACAACUGGACACAACCCAGAUCAAGAGAUGGUGGGGAGCCCAGCCCCAAAGAUAAUCAUGAUAUGAAUAGCACCAACCUCUGGAUCCUGCUGCUAUGGAUGGAGGUGAACCUCCAACCACACCUUCCCUGCUAUGAUAUCCUAUAUCCAUUGAAACCAUGAGCCAAAAUACACCCCUUUUCAUGCAAGCUGCUUUUGUCAAGUAAUUCUACUAUAGUGAUGAGAAAAUACACAGUAUUUGUAGCAAGUCAACACAGCUUUGGCAAUUGAAAACAGAAGAAAUAUUCUUUCACAGUGCUAGAGUCCAGAAACCAAAAAUUGGUAUCCCUCAGAUAAAGUCAUGAUGCUAGCAGGUCCAUGCUCCUUCUGAAGCUGUAGAAAAGAAUCUAUUCUUUGUCUGCUCCCAUUUUUUGAUGUAUGUUACUUUCAUUAAGGGCCCUUCCAGAUAAUCUGGGUACAUAUCCCCAUCUCACAGUCUUUAUCCUAAUGCAUCUGCAAAGCCUCUUUUUUUCCUCAAUAAGGGACUAUUUAUAAUUUCUAAGAAGUAUGAUGUGGAUACAUGGGGUGUCAUUUUGUAUCCAUGUCCCAACAAUGUUUCUUUUGAAAUUCAUCAAUGGUUCCUAAAAUUCAUGCGGAAGUACAAAGUGUAAAGGAUUGCUGAAACAAUUUGGAAGGACAACAAUGAGAGACGAUGGAGAUGCCACAGCUUCUAGAGAACAUUAAAGAAACAUUAAUGAGACAUUUUGUUACGAGCAGAACAGAAAGAUAAACUAUCUUGGCGGAAGAGAUAGCUCCCAAAAUGGUCCACAAAGAUAGGGGAAUUAGGUAAGCCAUAGAGUUAGCAUUCCAUAUCAAAGUGCAAAACAUGGAUUAUUCAAUAUGUGAUAUUUGGACAAUUAGCUCUCCAGAUGGUAGAAAGGAAGAUGAAAUUCCUAUCUAAUGUGACAUACAAUAACUUCCAUAUGGAUUAAAGAUCUUGAUGUUAAAUAGCAACUCUUUAAUCUUUACAUGAAAAUAUCUUGUUACCUUGAUGCAAGACAGGAUUCUUUAAUUAAGGAAUGAAAUCACAUACCAAAAAAGAAAUUAAGUGUACCACUAUUUAAAUUAUUAACUUCUCUUAUUCAGUAAAAAAAAAAAUGCCCAUAACAAAUUUUAUAAACUACAUGCAUAUGCAGAAGUUUAGAAUUUACAAAUUAUAUAGGUACCGAAUGAUAAUCAAGAGCAGUAGAGUAUAUUUUUUGCAGAUAUUUAAGAAAUGCCAAAAAUUUAAUAAGACAACAGACAGAGUAAUGCCAUGGAUCCUAAAACGAUGAAAAGUUGUUCAUUCAUCCAGUCACCUCUAUUGUUUUGGAAAAAAAGAAGCUUUGAUGAUACACAUAUAAAUGAAAAUGGUUUUCAAUUAAAAACU
Long non-coding RNA from Peromyscus maniculatus bairdii (prairie deer mouse), 1555 nucleotides. RefSeq lists it as uncharacterized. The record is from RefSeq and is a predicted model, not a curated record. Lineage: Eukaryota; Metazoa; Chordata; Mammalia; Rodentia; Cricetidae.